UAAAGUAGUUUAUCUCAGGGA
This 21-nucleotide non-coding RNA is filed under the name Caenorhabditis elegans. Lineage: Eukaryota; Metazoa; Nematoda; Chromadorea; Rhabditida; Rhabditidae. The record is from RNAcentral.